RNAcentral lists this microRNA (21 nucleotides) under Corchorus olitorius. RNAcentral describes it as "tca-miR-3812-". Lineage: Eukaryota; Viridiplantae; Streptophyta; Magnoliopsida; Malvales; Malvaceae. The record is from RNAcentral.
ACUGUCACAUCAUCACUUAAC